AGACAUUAAUCUUAAGUAUCCAGGGAGCCCUAAAACAUUGUAUCCCACUAGCAAGGACCAUGGUAAUUGCCACGUAAAUCCCCUCCAUUAUGUGGCCCUUAUUAUGACCAGCCAGCCAAGGCUUGCCUUUAAAUCAUACCAAUUGAACCGAGCCUUGUAGAAACACUAUCACCUACGCAUACCUCUGCUUCUUUUCAUUAACCUGCUAUCCUCUUUACAAAUGGGAUUCUUCACCCACUCCCUUCUUCUAGAUUAGCAAUGCCCUGUUAAGUAAACGAACACGAAAUUCAAAGGGAAACAGGAGCAAUCAUCAUUACCAGCUGCCGUGUUAAGCAUUGCGAAAACGCUCACGAUUCACAGAAAAAUCCAUGCUGUUCUUUGAAGGCAUUCAAGCCUUAAUAGCUAGCUGGAUGAAUGUUUAACUUCUAGGCCAGGCACUACUCUGUCCCAACAAUAAGCCCUGUACAUUGGGAAAGGUGCCGAGACAUGAACUUUGGUCUUCUCUGCAAUCCAUCUGGAGCAUUCACUGACAACAUCGACUUUGAAGUUGCACUGACCUGGCCAGCCCUGCCACUUACCAGGUUGGCUCUGUAUGGCUAAGCGUUUUCUCCUAAAAUCCCUUGAAAACUGUGAGAAGACCAUAAGAAGAUCAUAUCUUUAAUUCUAUUUCACAAGUCACACAAUAUUCCAAUCAAAUACAGAUGGUUGAGAAAAGUCAUCCAUCUUCCCUCCCCACCCUCCCACAGCCCCUCAACCACUGCCCUGAAACUUAUAUGCUGUUAUCCGCAGCUCCAUCUGGAGCAUCACAGCUACUGUCAACCCUGACGCUCUUUCUGAAAAAACACCGGAUGGACAUCAGAACUAUUUCUUUAAGGAUGUUACUGAGCCACACAGGAAAACUUGCCUUAUGAUUUUGAAUGCACGGAUCUGAUUUGACUAAACAUGAUAACUAGAGAAUCACCCAAUCUACUCCCAUUUUCAACUCUAAAUCAUCAGAGUGUCUCAAAUCCAAAGCACACACAGACCAGCCUGGCCAACACGGUGAAACUCCACCCCUACUAAAAGUAUAAAAAUUAUCCAGGUGUGGUGGCGGGCGCCUGUAAUCCAAGCUACUUGGGAGUCUGGAGGCAGGAGAAUCCCUUGAACCUGGGAGAUGGAGGUUGCAGUGAGCAGAGAUCACACCACCGCACUCUAGCCUGGGCCACAAAUCAACAACAACAACAACAACAAAAAACAAAGCGCACACAGAGACUGAGGUCCUCUUUGGCAUUGAGAAGAUGGCUAUGCAAGUCCCAACUAGCAAGUGCAAACUUCCCAGCUUCACUUCUGCCAGUGUCCCUUCACCCCUUCUCAACCCCACUGGGAGGCAGGAGGGUGCUUGACAAUAACAGCCUUGGCAUCACUCUGCCAGGGUGUAAUAGGAACUGUUACAAUUCUGAGAUUCUGUAAGUGCUUUGAGAUUUUGGAGUCAGACUGCUUGAACUUGAAUCCUGGCCCUCUCAUCAGAGACUUGACUUAUUUUAGGCAAGUUAUAUAACCAAUUUUACCUCAGUUCCUUACCCAUAAAAUGGGUCUAAUGAGAGUACCUACCACACAGAAUUUUGAUGAAAACUGAAUGAGAUGAAGGCCUUUAAGGCAGUGGUCCCCAACCCUGGGGACACAGACAGGUACCAUUUUGUGGCCUGUUAGGAACUGGGCCACACAGCAGGAGGUGAGCAGUGGGUGAGUGAGAUCAGCGUUAUUUACAGCUGCUCCCCAUUGCUCACCUUACUGCCUGAGCUCCACCUCCUGUCAGAUCAGCAGUGGCAUUAAAUUCUCAUAGCAGCACAAACCCUGUCAUGAACUGCACAUGCGAGGGAUCUAGGUUGUGCGCUCCUUAUGAGAAUCUAAUGCCUAAUGACCUGUCACCGUCUCCCAUCACCCCUAGAUGGGAGUGUCUAGUUGCAGGAAACAAGCUCAGGGCUUCCACUGAUUCUACAUUAUGGCACUCAGGAAAUAUUAGUUGCAUGAACGAAGGCUGCAUUUUCAUUAGAACAACAUGCAGUUCAACCCCUUCAUGUUUCAAUGAGGGUUCAGAUACCCAGAGGGCUAUGCUAUCAUCCUGGAGCCCACUCUGCUAACAAUUAGCAGAACGGAAGCCUUAAUUUCCAGAUUCUAGUGAACUUGAUGAGUCAAGACUAUUGCAAUUGGAAAUCUGUUCUCCUCUGCUGCUGCAUUCCCUGCUUAAUACUCAAGCCAGAAACCAGGAAGGCUGUGGCUUGCCUUUUCACUUCUUGUGUCCUGUUUAAGAAAUAUCUGCUAUCCCAAGCAUCUGGCAUCUUUCUUGACAUAUGUAGCAGUUGCUUUUUGACAGCUUGCUUCUUCAGUGAAUGAAUAAAUUAAUAAAGAGAAAUGUGAUGUUCAGUGAUCCAUUUUGCAGAUUGCAAACUCCUAGAGAAGGGCUCAACAGUGAGUGCUGAGGCUGCACAGAGGAGGAAGGCAGCACAAUGAUGGAAGGCUUCCUAAAGAGGCUCUUGAGUUUCUGCUUUCAAGUGACCCUCAGAAAUUCCUCCAUUCACUGCAGAGGUUCUGUUUCUCCUUGCUUUGUUCUGACUUUACGGCAGAACUAAGCUAAUGAGUUAGUUACUAUGGGUUAUCACUUGGAUUUGAAGAACCAUCAUUUCUAGGCAUUGCUGCUCAGAGUGGGUCUGCCCUCAGGGGAAGCUGUCUAACCAGAGCCUAACCCACUAGGGUUUUAUCAGAACCUAACUGACCUGAGGAAAAGAAAUACUCAACUCCAGCAAGCUCCAGCCUUCCAAAUGGAGGAGGAGAAAACCCAACUCCAGCCCACUUCAGCUAUCUUGUCCCACAUAAAGGGGAAGUGGAAGAAACCUGAGAAGCAGGCAUGAAGUUCACAGUCCAGAGUGUAUUCCACACCAUUUCAUAUUCCAUCGCAUUCCAUUCUACACAAUUCCACAUCUCCCCGGCCACAUCAGCCUGAGAGUAAUAAACAGACCUUGCCAUCGUAUCCCCUUUUGGAGACACAAGCCAGGAAGGAAGCUCUUCAGUGCAGCUGUGAAUAGAGAAAUGCUGGCUGAGGUUUUGGAGACACUGGGUGAUCAUUCCCAGUGAAAUUUUUAGAUCCCUGGGGACAUGAGCUGCUUUGUCUUUUCCAAGGCUGAAAAAGUUUUGGAAGCCCUCCUAAGCAGGUGCCAGACCCUUUUUUGGCCAGAGACAGGAUCUUACGCUGUUGCCCAGGCUGGAGUGCAAUAGUGUCAUCAUGGCUCACUGUAGCCUGGAACUGCUGGGCUCAAGGGAUCCUCCCAGCUCAGCCUCCCAAGUAGCUAGGAGUAAAGUCUGGAGAACACUUUUUCUUUUGAGCUGUUUACAACCUUUAGCAAUUGAGUAGAGUGUACUCUUGUCAAUAGAAUUUGAAGCACAUUUCUCUCUCUGCCUGAUUUCUGUAGAAUUUGUAAACUAUUUGUGAAUAUUCUUAAUUUAUGGCAAUAUGGUUGCUUACAUAAGUUCAAUAAUAAUCUGUUUUCUUUUACAAUGAGACACAGUUGGAGGAACUGGUUAUUUUCCCAGGGCUUUGACUGAAAUGGCCUUGUGAAUGGUUCCAGGAAAGCCAAUUUUGGAGACCCUAUGUGGAUGAUGAUGCUUGCUGUACUUUCUGUGGGUAAUCGGGCCAAGUAUAUGGGACUGAAGCUAAUUUUGCAGGUGAGAAAAUGGAGGUCCAGAGAGAAAAGUGACUCACCCAAGCUGAAAACAGUUGCAGGAAGAAAAGCCAGGACAGAACUGGGCUGUUAGAAACCUUGGAGUACACUAAAGAUGAGGAACUGAGUCACCGCAAUGCCAAAUGUAACACGCUGUGGGUCAAAAUUUGGAUGGUUGCGUUGGAAAUUAUUCUGAAGCCACAGACAGGGCUAAAAGAGUCUAGAAUGUCCUACUAGCUGUUGGAACCUGCUGGAGUUCUAAAGGCAUGCGAUGUCCUGAAUGUGCUUGACCAAUGGACACAGCAGGUAUUUGAAGAGUUUUGAUGCUUCCUUUCUGUUUUCAGUGCUAUUUUUUUGCUUUAUUUCUUUUAAAAAACUUUCCCCACAGAGGCUAUUUAUUACACAGCAGCAGCCAGCAUGCACCAAGCAGAACUGCUUUUCAUAAUAAACCUAUUUAUCUUCUGGCAUGUCAGAAAUUUCUCAAAUUGAUACUUAUAAUAAAUAUGAUUAAUAACACAUUGUA
RNAcentral lists this long non-coding RNA (4218 nucleotides) under Homo sapiens (human). Its description in RNAcentral is "PREDICTED lncRNA (TCONS_00257625)". Lineage: Eukaryota; Metazoa; Chordata; Mammalia; Primates; Hominidae. The record is from RNAcentral.